GAAUUUAUACAGCGAGGAGGUGGAAGAACAAUUUACCUUUUCCGGGCAGCAGAAUGAAAUUGGUGGAGAUGAAAGCUUUUGGUUGCCAAGAUGUUCUAGGUAUCUACAGGAGGAAGAUUUUAUUGUUCAAUUUUUGUAGAAUUAGGGGAAGAUUACAAUGAAAGGAAAAAGAACUUGGGAGGGGUUUGCACAGAGAAGAGAAACGUGAAAGGAGCUGAAAGCUUCUAAGUGAAAAUAAAAGAAUAAAAAUCUAAUUUUAUUUUAUUUUAUUUUUCUUAAAU
Molecule: long non-coding RNA, 281 nt
Filed under: Vigna radiata
Lineage: Eukaryota; Viridiplantae; Streptophyta; Magnoliopsida; Fabales; Fabaceae
Description: long non-coding RNA (VRAD_LNC016825)
Source: RNAcentral